This 2900-nucleotide ribosomal RNA is filed under the name Klebsiella pneumoniae. RNAcentral's name for it is "bacterial LSU rRNA". It matches the Rfam family "Bacterial large subunit ribosomal RNA". Lineage: Bacteria; Pseudomonadati; Pseudomonadota; Gammaproteobacteria; Enterobacterales; Enterobacteriaceae. The record is from RNAcentral.
UUAAGCGACUAAGCGUACACGGUGGAUGCCCUGGCAGUCAGAGGCGAUGAAGGACGUGCUAAUCUGCGAAAAGCGUCGGUAAGGUGAUAUGAACCGUUAUAACCGGCGAUGUCCGAAUGGGGAAACCCAGUGCAAUUCGUUGCACUAUCGUUAACUGAAUACAUAGGUUAACGAGGCGAACCGGGGGAACUGAAACAUCUAAGUACCCCGAGGAAAAGAAAUCAACCGAGAUUCCCCCAGUAGCGGCGAGCGAACGGGGAGCAGCCCAGAGUCUGAAUCAGCUUGUGUGUUAGUGGAACGGUCUGGAAAGUCCGACGGUACAGGGUGAUAGUCCCGUACACCAAAAUGCACAGGUUGUGAACUCGAAGAGUAGGGCGGGACACGUGGUAUCCUGUCUGAAUAUGGGGGGACCAUCCUCCAAGGCUAAAUACUCCUGACUGACCGAUAGUGAACCAGUACCGUGAGGGAAAGGCGAAAAGAACCCCGGCGAGGGGAGUGAAAAAGAACCUGAAACCGUGUACGUACAAGCAGUGGGAGCACCUUCGGGUGUGACUGCGUACCUUUUGUAUAAUGGGUCAGCGACUUAUAUUCUGUAGCAAGGUUAACCGUAUAGGGGAGCCGCAGGGAAACCGAGUCUUAACUGGGCGUUAAGUUGCAGGGUAUAGACCCGAAACCCGGUGAUCUAGCCAUGGGCAGGUUGAAGGUUGGGUAACACUAACUGGAGGACCGAACCGACUAAUGUUGAAAAAUUAGCGGAUGACUUGUGGCUGGGGGUGAAAGGCCAAUCAAACCGGGAGAUAGCUGGUUCUCCCCGAAAGCUAUUUAGGUAGCGCCUCGUGAAUUCAUCUUCGGGGGUAGAGCACUGUUUCGGCUAGGGGGUCAUCCCGACUUACCAACCCGAUGCAAACUACGAAUACCGAAGAAUGUUAUCACGGGAGACACACGGCGGGUGCUAACGUCCGUCGUGAAGAGGGAAACAACCCAGACCGCCAGCUAAGGUCCCAAAGUCAUGGUUAAGUGGGAAACGAUGUGGGAAGGCACAGACAGCCAGGAUGUUGGCUUAGAAGCAGCCAUCAUUUAAAGAAAGCGUAAUAGCUCACUGGUCGAGUCGGCCUGCGCGGAAGAUGUAACGGGGCUAAACCAUGCACCGAAGCUGCGGCAGCGACACUAUGUGUUGUUGGGUAGGGGAGCGUUCUGUAAGCCUGCGAAGGUGACCUGUGAGGGUUGCUGGAGGUAUCAGAAGUGCGAAUGCUGACAUAAGUAACGAUAAAGCGGGUGAAAAGCCCGCUCGCCGGAAGACCAAGGGUUCCUGUCCAACGUUAAUCGGGGCAGGGUGAGUCGACCCCUAAGGCGAGGCCGAAAGGCGUAGUCGAUGGGAAACAGGUUAAUAUUCCUGUACUUGGUGUUACUGCGAAGGGGGGACGGAGAAGGCUAUGUUAGCCGGGCGACGGUUGUCCCGGUUUAAGCAUGUAGGCUGAUUGUCCAGGCAAAUCCGGAUAAUCAAGGCUGAGGUGUGAUGACGAGGCACUACGGUGCUGAAGUAACAAAUGCCCUGCUUCCAGGAAAAGCCUCUAAGCAUCAGGUAACAUUAAAUCGUACCCCAAACCGACACAGGUGGUCAGGUAGAGAAUACCAAGGCGCUUGAGAGAACUCGGGUGAAGGAACUAGGCAAAAUGGUGCCGUAACUUCGGGAGAAGGCACGCUGGUGUGUAGGUGAAGUCCCUGCGGAUGGAGCUGAGACCAGUCGAAGAUACCAGCUGGCUGCAACUGUUUAUUAAAAACACAGCACUGUGCAAACACGAAAGUGGACGUAUACGGUGUGACGCCUGCCCGGUGCCGGAAGGUUAAUUGAUGGGGUUAUCCGUAAGGAGAAGCUCUUGAUCGAAGCCCCGGUAAACGGCGGCCGUAACUAUAACGGUCCUAAGGUAGCGAAAUUCCUUGUCGGGUAAGUUCCGACCUGCACGAAUGGCGUAAUGAUGGCCAGGCUGUCUCCACCCGAGACUCAGUGAAAUUGAACUCGCUGUGAAGAUGCAGUGUACCCGCGGCAAGACGGAAAGACCCCGUGAACCUUUACUAUAGCUUGACACUGAACAUUGAGCCUUGAUGUGUAGGAUAGGUGGGAGGCUUUGAAGCGUGGACGCCAGUCUGCGUGGAGCCAACCUUGAAAUACCACCCUUUAAUGUUUGAUGUUCUAACGUUGGCCCCUGACCGGGGUUGCGGACAGUGUCUGGUGGGUAGUUUGACUGGGGCGGUCUCCUCCCAAAGCGUAACGGAGGAGCACGAAGGUUAGCUAAUCCUGGUCGGACAUCAGGAGGUUAGUGCAAUGGCAUAAGCUAGCUUGACUGCGAGCGUGACGGCGCGAGCAGGUGCGAAAGCAGGUCAUAGUGAUCCGGUGGUUCUGAAUGGAAGGGCCAUCGCUCAACGGAUAAAAGGUACUCCGGGGAUAACAGGCUGAUACCGCCCAAGAGUUCAUAUCGACGGCGGUGUUUGGCACCUCGAUGUCGGCUCAUCACAUCCUGGGGCUGAAGUAGGUCCCAAGGGUAUGGCUGUUCGCCAUUUAAAGUGGUACGCGAGCUGGGUUUAGAACGUCGUGAGACAGUUCGGUCCCUAUCUGCCGUGGGCGCUGGAGAAUUGAGGGGGGCUGCUCCUAGUACGAGAGGACCGGAGUGGACGCAUCACUGGUGUUCGGGUUGUCAUGCCAAUGGCACUGCCCGGUAGCUAAAUGCGGAAGAGAUAAGUGCUGAAAGCAUCUAAGCACGAAACUUGCCCCGAGAUGAGUUCUCCCUGAGACUAUAAGUCUCCUGAAGGAACGUUAAAGACGAUGACGUUGAUAGGCCGGGUGUGUAAGCGCAGCGAUGCGUUGAGCUAACCGGUACUAAUGAACCGUGAGGCUUAACCUU